This 465-nucleotide ribosomal RNA is filed under the name uncultured bacterium. RNAcentral describes it as "partial 16S ribosomal RNA". It matches the Rfam family "Bacterial small subunit ribosomal RNA", at positions 339 to 795 of the family's 1533-position model. The record is from RNAcentral.
CUACGGGGUGCACCAGUGGGGAAUAUUGGACAAUGGGGGAAACCCUGAUCCAGCAAUGCCGCGUGUGUGAAGAAGGCCUGCGGGUUGUAAAGCACUUUCGGUUGGGAGGACUGCUUCUAGCACUAAUAUUGUUGGAAGUUGACGUUACCUUCAGAAGAAGCACCGGCUAGCUCAGUGCCAGCAGCCGCGGUAAUACUGAGGGUGCAAGCGUUAAUCGGAAUUACUGGGCGUAAAGCGCGCGUAGGUGGUUAGAUCAGUUGGGUGUGAAAGCCCCGGGCUCAACCUGGGAAUUGCAUCCGAUACUGUCUAGCUUGAGUACAGGAGAGGAGAGUGGAAUACCACAUGUAGCGGUGAAAUGCGUAGAUAUGUGGAGGAACACCAAUGGCGAAGGCAGCUCUCUGGCCUGAUACUGACGCUGAGGUGCGAAAGCGUGGGGAGCAAACAGGAUUAGAUACCCCCGUAGUC